GAGCUACCUUAAUUACAUGUAUUUUUGUGUUGUUUUUUUUUCCUGUAUAUAUUUGUAGGUAUUUCUACUUACCUCCCUCUGAGAGUGGGCAUUGUUUCAUUCUUGGCGUUUGGGGCCCCUGUGCUUGAACACAAUGCUGGCACAUAAUGGGCACUAAAAAUACUGGGAGGAUUUGGUGAAGAGGGACACAGUAAACCAGAGUAAACCAGAGAGGCAGCAAUUACUUCUACUGCCGAGGCCAAUUUAUCAAAAAGGCUUGGAAACAUUACUCUUCUAUAGCAGUUUCCAUUAGAGGAAGCACUGGAAGGGACUUUAGAGCUCACCUAGCCUAACCCCAUUAUUUUUUAGAGAUCUUCAAAAUAUGGACUUGAAACCAAACAAAACAUUUGCUCCAUAAACCUGCCAGAGGUUAGAGGAAGUAUGGAGGCAGAGACGCAGCCAAUACUUUGGAUCUUUUCUUCAGGAACUUCG
This 471-nucleotide long non-coding RNA is filed under the name Monodelphis domestica (gray short-tailed opossum). Its description in RNAcentral is "lncRNA (ENSMODG00000050773.1)". Lineage: Eukaryota; Metazoa; Chordata; Mammalia; Didelphimorphia; Didelphidae. The record is from RNAcentral.